UCAGAGGUGGAGAAAGUCAUAAGAAUCAGGGAGCCUGCCCCAAAUUGCCUCCUAUGAUAACUUUCCACAAAGACUGGAGGGGAGGCUUCAAACAUCUUCCUGCAGUGUCCAGCAAGACAGCGAGGCAGACUCCCUUUCUCCUGCCAAAGCCACGUGGAGCCAGACAGAACCACAAGCAUACCUGUGGUGCUUGGAGGCCCAAGUAGAAACUUGAAUGCUCACGGCUGCAUUGGCAGCUUCUACUUGCCUGCCUGGAUCACCGUUCCUCAUGAGAACUUGGAAAAGCAGGACUAUCAUUCUUGCUUGACAGACGAAGAAACCAAGCCUCAGUUUUGUAGGCUCCUACCAGUGAAAGCCUCCUCACAACUCUCUUCUUCUCCCCAAGGACUGCGUGCAAUUCUACUUGGAGAUCUUCAUAACACCUUAAGGGAAAAAUCCUUUUUGAAAGAAAAACAAGUCUGGGUGGUGCUUGAAAAUUCAGAAGGCAGCUAGAAACUCUGCCAAUUACAACUGGUGAUUGCUGAGUUCUGGAGACAGACUGGGCUUCUGCUUUCUUUUGGUGGAGGUGUCUGCUUGCAGAAAAUUUAUGUUCUGGGAUUUACAACUUCAGGGAGACAAAGGAAACUCCAGCUCAUCUCCCACAUCAUUGAUUGAGAGGACCAUUUUCUGACUGUCUGCACACGCAGCAUGAUACAGGACGUACUUCUCCAUUUACAACACCCGGUGGGCUUCAUGCUGGUAUUUUGGGACUAAAUUCCCCUUUCAGGUUUCCUAUACUACCCUUUAAUGCAACAAUGGGAUGAAGAGAUGAAGACUUCUAGCAGGCUACCUCAGAAAGGUUGCUGACCAAAGGCUGUAUGGACCAAAAAGUCAUAACACCACCCUGGAUGAAAGGACAUUUACCUAAGGAAUUACCCGCUCUCAAUUCUUCCCAGGUGCAUGUAGUAUAGAUUAAAUAAGGUGGUUGUAUGGCAACAGAGACAUUAUUAGAAACAUUCUUCUUGAAGUUUGACAACAAAGCAGUAGAUGUGUAUCUACUACAGAGUUGUUAGUGAAAAAAGGUAUGUUUGAAGUAAUCAAUUGGUAUUCAUUUUAAACAGUAAUGGUCUUACUGAAGCUAAGUUUAAUACAUGCUGUGUUUGGAAGUAAUUUCUUUACCACUGUGUAGAAACCUUCACAGCUGUUCUUUUUUUGUUGUUGUGUUGUUGACAUUCAGUAGCAAAUUACAAGAAUCUCUGAUGAAAACUCCUUACAGCUAGAUGUGUUCUUAUUUUUGAAUUCAGACUCAGUGUCAAUGAUCUCACUACUCUAUCUCCAAUUUUCCCAAAUACAUGGGUAAAUUGUAAGUGGAAGCUAAUUUAUCUUCAAAAAUUUGAAGGGCAGGAUAGACACUGUCUAGUUUGGAAAUAUUAAGAAUAUAAUUCU
Molecule: long non-coding RNA, 1425 nt
Filed under: Homo sapiens (human)
Lineage: Eukaryota; Metazoa; Chordata; Mammalia; Primates; Hominidae
Description: HSALNT0323035
Source: RNAcentral